AAAACGACUCUCGGCAACGGAUAUCUCGGCUCACGCAUCGAUGAAGAACGUAGCAAAAUGCGAUACUUGGUGUGAAUUGCAGAAUCCCGUGAACCAUCGAGUUUUUGAACGCAAGUUGCGCCCGAUGCCAUCUGGUUGAGGGCACGUCUGCCUGGGCGUCACGCAUCAC
This 169-nucleotide ribosomal RNA is filed under the name Eclipta prostrata. RNAcentral's name for it is "5.8S ribosomal RNA". It matches the Rfam family "5.8S ribosomal RNA". From Rfam's summary of the family: 5.8S ribosomal RNA (5.8S rRNA) is a component of the large subunit of the eukaryotic ribosome. It is transcribed by RNA polymerase I as part of the 45S precursor that also contains 18S and 28S rRNA. Lineage: Eukaryota; Viridiplantae; Streptophyta; Magnoliopsida; Asterales; Asteraceae. The record is from RNAcentral.